This is a small nucleolar RNA of Camelus dromedarius (Arabian camel), 112 nucleotides long. NCBI's taxonomy places the organism in Eukaryota, Metazoa, Chordata, Mammalia, Artiodactyla, Camelidae. The record is from Ensembl.
GCGGAGCCUUUGAGUCCUGACGCGCCUGCGCGUGGCGCCGCGAUGUCAGGCGGCUGCGCUUGCGCAGAACGGGCCGCUGGAACCCGCCUUGUUGGCUCUUUUAGCCACAAGC